This 246-nucleotide long non-coding RNA is filed under the name Homo sapiens (human). RNAcentral's name for it is "HSALNT0233971". The record is from RNAcentral. Lineage: Eukaryota; Metazoa; Chordata; Mammalia; Primates; Hominidae.
UAAAAGGCACCUUUGCCCGGUUGCUUCAAUUCUAGGAAGCUGUUCAAUGUUUGACUAUAUUUCUCCAUACUCAUUUGAAAACAGUUCAUCAGAUUGGAACGACCUGGAGCAGCCAGCAGAGUGACAAAUGAGGAAGAGGACAGAAUCUAGCUGAAGAAGCUCUGGAAGAUACCAUUUGAAGUCUUGAGUGCUUGAACUCACAAAGAAAGCACAUGAGUACACACUAGCACUUGAGCUCUUCAUUUU